UGGCGGACGGGUGAGUAAUGUCUGGGAAACUGCCCGAUGAGGGGGAGUAACUACUGGAAACGGUAGCUAAUACCGCAUAACGUCGCAAGACCAAAGAGGGGGACCUUCGGGCCUCUUGCCAUCGGAUGUGCCCAGAUGGGAUUAGCUAGUAGGUGGGGUAACGGCUCACCUAGGCGACGAUCCCUAGCUGGUCUGAGAGGAUGACCAGCCACACUGGAACUGAGACACGGUCCAG
RNAcentral lists this ribosomal RNA (235 nucleotides) under uncultured bacterium. RNAcentral describes it as "partial 16S ribosomal RNA". It matches the Rfam family "Bacterial small subunit ribosomal RNA", at positions 96 to 334 of the family's 1533-position model. The record is from RNAcentral.